UCGGACACUACUGAGCAACUGAACUGAACUGAACUGAACUGAAACUCCCAAAAGCAGCUUAAUUGGCUAAAUCUGUCUCCUUCCCAGGAGCCUAAACUCCCCAAGUUCUAACAUGGGUGGCUCCCUGUCUCUCUGGUGGAUGCACCACUUAACUGCAGUCCCUAUGUUGUGUCUGACUCUGCAACUCCAUGAACUGCAGCACACCAAGCCUCUCUG
Molecule: long non-coding RNA, 216 nt
Organism: Bubalus bubalis (water buffalo)
Lineage: Eukaryota; Metazoa; Chordata; Mammalia; Artiodactyla; Bovidae
Exons: 3
Source: RefSeq, a predicted model, not a curated record